Molecule: ribosomal RNA, 466 nt
Filed under: Myeloconis guyanensis
Lineage: Eukaryota; Fungi; Ascomycota; Lecanoromycetes; Ostropales; Myeloconidaceae
Description: mitochondrial SSU rRNA
Rfam family: Bacterial small subunit ribosomal RNA
Source: RNAcentral
GGCUGAACCAGCAACUUGGAAGAAAGAAGGCAAAGCCGCUGCUGAUCAUAAAGUAUCGGUGGUAGUAACUCUGUUACAUAAAUUUCUAGGUAAAUUUUUGAUAAUGACUUAAUUUAUCUAUAAGUCUUGACCAAGUCACGUGCCAGCAGUCGCGGUAAUACGUGGAAGACAAGUGUUAUUCAUCUUUAACAGGUUUAAAGGGUACCCAGACAGUUAAUUAAGCCUUCGCAAAAGGGACUGAUUAUACUAGAGUUUUAUGAAAGAAGGCUAGAACGGUGAGUGUAGAGAUGAAAUAUGUUGAUACCACUUGGAAACUGGCAACGGCGAAAGCAACCUUUUAUGUAAAAACUGACGUUGAAGGACGAAGGCUCAAUUGAAAGAACAGGAUUAGGUACCCUAGUAUUUUGAGCAGACAAUGAUGAGUGUCAUAGAUAAGUGUAUAAGUGAUUAUAUAAUUAUUUGAUUU